GCGAACUCUAUGAUUAAGAGGAGUAUGUUUUAUAAAAAUCGUUGCAGAGAGCCGGUGAUGGUGCGAAUCCGGUACGAUGGGUAAGACAGAAUGGACUUAUGAGAGGUUUCUUGAACGAAAGUAGGGAAACACGGAAUUCCACCGUUAAAAGGAUAGGGUAUCGGAAAGAACAAAUGCGUAAGCGCCUUGCUCAGCGGCUUAUGGAUUUCGUAGUCGCAGGCUCGAGAUAAAGGAAACACAGUGAGGUAGUUCACGAACAAGUGAAAAUAGCACUACCAUUUUCAACUGAUGUUGACUUAUCGUAGGGAGAAGACGGAGAAAUCCACUAGCCGCUAGGCGCUGAAGCUAGACGAAAACAAUCCCGUACCCGAAAAAGCGGAAGGAGUGUAUUCUCCUUCAACAUGAGGUGGCACCGCGGUAUGAAUCGUCCUCUAU
This 435-nucleotide non-coding RNA is filed under the name Heyndrickxia shackletonii. RNAcentral's name for it is "Bacillus shackletonii T-box sequence". It matches the Rfam family "T-box leader". Rfam says of the family: Uncharged tRNA acts as the effector for transcription antitermination of genes in the T-box leader family. T-boxes are found upstream of many aminoacyl-tRNA synthetase genes and some amino acid biosynthetic genes usually in Gram-positive bacteria. The anticodon of a specific tRNA base pairs to a specifier sequence within the T-box motif, and the NCCA acceptor tail of the tRNA base pairs to a conserved bulge in the T-box antiterminator hairpin. Lineage: Bacteria; Bacillati; Bacillota; Bacilli; Caryophanales; Bacillaceae. The record is from RNAcentral.